GAUGAACGCUAGCGGCAGGCCUAAUACAUGCAAGUCGGACGGGAUCCAUCGGAGAGCUUGCUCGAAGAUGGUGAGAGUGGCGCACGGGUGCGUAACGCGUGAGCAACCUACCUCUAUCAGGGGGAUAGCCUCUCGAAAGAGAGAUUAACACCGCAUAACAUAAUUCUCCGGCAUCGGAGUAUUAUUAAAUAUUUAUAGGAUAGAGAUGGGCUCGCGUGACAUUAGCUAGUUGGUAGGGUAACGGCUUACCAAGGCGACGAUGUCUAGGGGCUCUGAGAGGAGAAUCCCCCACACUGGUACUGAGACACGGACCAGACUCCUACGGGAGGCAGCAGUAAGGAAUAUUGGUCAAUGGGCGGAAGCCUGAACCAGCCAUGCCGCGUGCAGGAUGACUGCCCUAUGGGUUGUAAACUGCUUUUGUCCAGGAAUAAACCUAAAUACGUGUAUUUAGCUGAAUGUACUGGAAGAAUAAGGAUCGGCUAACUCCGUGCCAGCAGCCGCAGUAACAC
Molecule: ribosomal RNA, 509 nt
Filed under: uncultured bacterium
Lineage: Bacteria
Description: bacterial SSU rRNA
Rfam family: Bacterial small subunit ribosomal RNA
Source: RNAcentral